GUGGAGCUUAUUUAGUAUUUUCUUUCUGCUCGUCUAAGCAGGGAUCCGUCUUUUUUAUACAUGACGAAAAACGAUGCCGUGGGAAGUUUUCAUUUACAAUCAUCUCUCAGUUCUCAGUAGACAUUCACACUUUAUGAGAAGAGAUGACAUUUUACAGCAAUGGCCUGUUGGAUUAAGUAGGAGCUGAGAAACCAGAGGAUGUUGCUGAAUUGAAUUGUAAAAGGUAUUUCAAAGUGAGAUAUCAUACGCCCACCAGAAACAACUGAAGGUGUGACCUCAAUAUAUGGGACGAGCUAAAUGUUGCAUGAAUGCAGUAAUAUCGUUAUCCUGUAGGAGGCAUAGUGUGCUAUGAACAGCUUGUGGACAAAUCUGGUGCUUGCUGGCUGUAACAGCAACUCCAUGUGGAAGUUGUCUGUGUUCCAGUGGAGAUGCUGUUACCUGCAGAGAGUCACCCCCUAGCCAGCUCUGACAUGGAAUCAAUGUUUAGAAUAUCACAGUCCUUAUUUAUUAUGGCUGUUCUGAUGUUUCUCCUCUUUCGGUUGAACUCAGUUAUAUCUGCUUUCACCACAUUGUCAUGUAUUUUUUGAUUUGUAUUAUUAAGAACAGUCUCUAGAUCAUUCAAGAGAUAUGGGCUCCUUGUUUUCAAUGACAACAUCAUGUGAAGAUAUGUAUGCCCUCCAAACUUUGGUUUGAAUUCAGAGUAGGGAUGCAUGGGAUGCAUGGUGAUGACCUAUGAAUUGACAGCCAGUGUCUGCAACACAACUGCCUGUCAGUUCUGUAGGCCACUGCUGUGUCUAUCCUACUGAGCACACACAGGGGUUUAGAUGGAGCAAAGGAACUCAUUGAUAUGUUUGAUAAAUUGUCAGAAACCUAUGAUGUAUUUGUGAAACCCCUGAGAAUAUUCUGUAUAGUAUACAUUUGCAAGUUAUUUGAAGACAAUACAAUUGCUUUGUUGCCAACCUUGGAAAUAAAGAUUGAAAACACUCUCUGAUUGUUUAAAUAAUAUAAUUAAGCAAUAAGGUACGAGAGGGUGUGGUAUGUGGCCAAUAACCACAGCUAAGGGUUGUUCUUAAGCACGACGGAGCACUCGGAUACAGCCCUUAGCCGUGGUAUAUUGGCCAUAUACCACAAACCCCUGAGGUGCC
This is a long non-coding RNA of Oncorhynchus tshawytscha (Chinook salmon), 1145 nucleotides long. NCBI's taxonomy places the organism in Eukaryota, Metazoa, Chordata, Actinopteri, Salmoniformes, Salmonidae. The record is from Ensembl.